AGAAAUCAAUCUUUAGAGCCCUUCUAGUCACUAAAAUCCAGAUUUUUAACAUACUAUUUGCUGCCAUUUUCCCUUCCGGCAUGCAUUUUCACCAUUUUCAACUAUUUUUCAUGAUUUUCUUGAUUUUUAUCGAUUUUCUCAAGCAUGAACAAACUUCAUAAUUCCAAAUCAUGGAAUUUAUGGAAUCAAUUCAUGCAAAAUUAAUUAGGGCCUUGGUGGGAGCCCGACAUUCAUGAUAUUCUC
Molecule: long non-coding RNA, 243 nt
Filed under: Vitis vinifera (wine grape)
Lineage: Eukaryota; Viridiplantae; Streptophyta; Magnoliopsida; Vitales; Vitaceae
Description: long non-coding RNA (VVIN_LNC007836)
Source: RNAcentral